Molecule: long non-coding RNA, 590 nt
Filed under: Ananas comosus (pineapple)
Lineage: Eukaryota; Viridiplantae; Streptophyta; Magnoliopsida; Poales; Bromeliaceae
Description: long non-coding RNA (ACOM_LNC018514)
Source: RNAcentral
AAGUGCUUUUUUAUUUUGAAAAACUCUAAUGGUUCGUUUAGGAUUGCGGAGAGAUUACGUUACGUGCGGUGAGAAGGUACGGUAAGAAAAUACUUUAUUUAUUUUCGUACGUAAUGAAUUACGCAUAUCACGAUGAAUAUAUUAUAAUAUAUUUUUUACUGUCCCAUCGAAAAACGUAGAAGCAUAUUCCUAUAUGCUUUUAUUCUAACUUUAUUUUAUCUAAUAGCAUUAGAUAGUCGUCAAUACCAAACUAAAUUUAAAUUUGCUUUUUCGGCUUUUUCUAAAAAGUCUCCCAUCAUCCAAGGCUUUUCCAUCACAUGUGCAUGCGGCAACCCCUCCUUCAGUCAAAAGGUUCUCGUCGAAUUGAGAAAGCCUACAGUAUCACACUUACAUUAUAUCAACAGUAACAAGCCAAUCAUAUAUCUCUCUUUUGAAAAAAAAAUAUAAUAAAAAUAUUUUUAUAUUAAUCACAAUGGUACGGAUGAAUCCAAAGAAGACAAUCCCAUUAGUUGGGAAAACCAUAUGAGCAAUAUAACUGGUACAUUUUAAAUAUUUUCUGUCGAUUCUAACUGAAUAAGCGAUAAUAGUGU